This 1051-nucleotide long non-coding RNA is filed under the name Callithrix jacchus (white-tufted-ear marmoset). RNAcentral's name for it is "lncRNA (ENSCJAG00000083088.1)". The record is from RNAcentral. Lineage: Eukaryota; Metazoa; Chordata; Mammalia; Primates; Cebidae.
AAAGUUCCAGAGACGAUAUGGAAUUAUAUUUGACCUGAAAUGUUCCCUUCCUGGAGCUCCGGAUGCUGCAAUUAAGAGGUUCCAUGUGACACUGCCUUCCGGCUUUUCCUUAGGUUUUGUCGUGGAGUCCCUUUUUUUUUCUUCCUUCUUUCUCCAGUGUACACUUGAAGGUUUGCAACGCUUCACGCUUGAAGACUUGGGAAAAACUGAGUCAAUUCAAUCUGACCGACUUCAUAGUCACCGGCUUCACAUGCAUUUGCUUGCUGUGAAAAGAAAAGCAUGUGAAGAAAAAUAUAUUGCCACUGAAGGAAUGGAUCUGUCUCAAAUAUAAUUGCUCAUUUUUAUCUGUCCCUUGUGUACAUACUCCUUCCAGCCCUAGCUCUUCUGAAUGGACGCACCCUCCAGGCCACUUCCGCAUCCGGCCACGCUACCAACGUCUUUGCCAGUGCCAACGUCCUGGGUCUCUUCUUGAUUCUCUGAGAUCCCUGGGGCUGCUCACAAGGCUUGAGGCCCUGGGCUCUUAGAAGCUGAAAGAAAACCUGAAAGAAAUUCACUGGGCUUUGCAAUCAUUGUGCUAAAACACCUCCAGCAAGGAGCUACAUCAUCCCAUUUCCGGGCACGUGGGUGCUGGAGCUACUGGGCUUCUAGCCCCGGGUUGACGGUCUUAGAGAACUUGAGAUCAGAUUCUGGUCCAGAGGGCAGAGCAGAUUGAGUUUCUUGAGAAGAAACCAGGAAGCAAUGACCGGCCUUGGAUUUUCUGGAGCAAUCCUGCUUUUAAGCAUUUUUAUUUUGUGGUCUACAAAAAUCCUUUUGUCCAUAUUAGAGCAUGUGUUCUAACUGCAGCAGGUGGACAUGGGGAAGUGGAGAGGUUGGGAAGAUGUAGGUGUAGCAAAUGACAGAAACUGAUGCGGGAACUGUUCUGGGGAGGCCACUGUCACUAUCAGGAUAUUGUGUUAUUAAGAGGGCCACUUAUAGGAACAGCGGUUGAGGCUGGUUUAUCUGUUUAGCUCAUUCUCAGUCUUGUCAGCUAAACAGACAUUGGGGCUCUGGU